CAAUUGGUACCUUAAUAUAAUAGUUCGUUGUUUUUAUUUUAAGAUUUAUUCUCUAUCUAUGACUUAUGCUAUGCAGUGAAGGGCCAGGGUGUUUAUAAUGAUGCUGUGCAUUACCAAAAGCACUGUGUGUUGGACCAGGUCUGAUUAAUGCAUACAAACUAUAGUUAAUAUAUGACUGAUGGUGGUCUCUUUUUGCAUAAUUGCUGGCUUUACUUUCUCUUAAAUCAAUAGGGUGUUUAAAGAUGAUUAGAUCUAAAUGUACUACUGAAAUGCCCCACUUAAUGCCUUAGCUACCCCAUCUUAACUGGGCUCUCUACUUUCACCUGUUUCUAUCCUCUUUUUUUUUCUUCAGGUUAACUUUUUUACCACCUGGGAUCUCUGUCAAAUUCAGCAGCAGGCAGGAAUGGGCAAAAUCUUGAAAUACCAGACAAUCCUACUGAAAGGUGUCAAUGAAGGAUCAAAAAAGGUAAAAAGCAUGGGGAUUGUAGUUGUAGAAAAGAAAAUGUACAGAAGCUAAAAAAGGUAGCUGCCACUACUAGUUCACCUUAAAAACUCAACUAUUAUUCAUUUUGGUAAAACAUGUUAUAACAUUUUAAGAAGUAUUAAUGGACUAGAAAUGAUAGCUCAGACAAAUACUCUUUUAUGAUUUAAGACUGUUAAAUUAAUCUUUUAUUUGUAGUGUACCAAAACCUUAGAAAGACAGAGUUUAUGGGGUAUGGGUGGAUGGGGGGGGGGGGUCCCUCCUAUUUUAUUUUUUUUGCCUUAUUGAAAUAACUCACCAAUAUUUUGGACUGACUAGUCAUAGGAGGAGGCUAAAGAUUAUGAGUUUGGAAAUCUAUUUCCAUUCAUUUAGGGCGGUGGGGAAUUGAGAUUUGUUCGAGUCCUUUCACAUGGGAGAAAAGGUUGUCAUGUUGGGUCCCUUCCAACUAAGCUUUCUUCAUUCCCUCCUUCUCUUCCUUUAUUUUAUAUAUAAUUAGUGGAGAAAAAGUGGAAUAUUUUUGUUAAAAGAGUUGGCAAUUACUACUUUUCUUAAUCCUUUAACUAGUUAAAUGUUUUUUGUAUUAAAUUGACUAUUAAACUGUAUUAAUACUAGGGCUUGCUGUGGUUGUUAUCAUAAUAUUUAUGUAUUUUAAUCGAUUUUUCGUUUAUGUUAGAA
Molecule: long non-coding RNA, 1156 nt
Organism: Solanum lycopersicum (tomato)
Lineage: Eukaryota; Viridiplantae; Streptophyta; Magnoliopsida; Solanales; Solanaceae
Source: RefSeq, a predicted model, not a curated record